GAAGACUUUGCCACCACUCGACUUUGGAAGGGAGAGUUACGUCAGAAGUGAACAUUGAUGUUUUAUUUAUUUACAUAUAUUUUCGCGCACACACUUGGUUGUGAUUGGACUGUGAAGAAACUUUAUGGUUGCUAACCUCUUUUCUUUUAGUGAACAUUAUAUGUGCACCCAUGACAUAGACGCCCUUAAUGUAAUAUCUGAAAUAAAAUAAAAUAAAAUAAAAAAUAAAAAAUAAUAAUAAUAAUUCUUUCCUCCCCCCACCUUUCUCUCUCCCCGCUGCUCACUCUCUCCCCCCCGGCUUCUGCCAUCUCCGGCUACAGCGCAGCCAACGCUGCCGCCCAGCUUCUCCUCCCCCUCCUCGCCGCCACGCCACCUUCCGCUUCCUCCCUCCCUUGCUGCCGACGUCCGCGUGGAGAAAGGAGCUACCAUCAUCGAAUCGAUCGUCUGCUAAUGUCCAAUCGCUCGUUUGACGCUGGAAUCGAGCUCCUUGCCACCGGAAACCCCUGGGCCGAGCUUCAUAGCCGUGAUUUCCUCACUGGCAGUUGUGUUCAUCCUUGCCGGAGCCGAGACUUUUCGGCCUCGAUCCGGUAUCUUCCAGCGAGUUUUCGACCAAAACUCUUGUGUUUUCAGACUCUUCGCAACUCAAGCUUCGGGUAGGCGCUUCCGGAUUCGAGUUCCGACACCGUUGGCAGUACUGGUUCCGGAUCCUAGUGUUUUCCGCACGCGCAGAAUUUUAGAUUUUCGGCGAGUCGGCAAAAUAAUGUAGUUUUAGUGGCCCAACUCCGUUAACUAAUUGCAGAAUAAUUGAAGUGUUUCUAGCAGAUUCUGGACCCGUUAUACAGGUGAUAAUUUGUCUAUCCAGCCAGCUCCAUCUGAGGUGUAGGAGCAAACUGCAGAGCGCGGUAGAAUUGCGACAGUUAGGAUUCUCCGCCGUAUUAUGCUUGACAGCUCGACUUCCUUUUUCAUCGGGCCUAUUGUAAAUAAUUUAUAUUUUCAUAUUUUUAAUUAUUUUAAAUUCUAGAUUCUCCGCAGUAGUAUACUUGAUAUGUUAUGUUUGAUCUGGUCUGUAACAAAUUAUGAAGUAUUAUUAUUUUACAGAUAGAGACUUAUGUAUGACAUGUCAGAUGAGUAUAAUAUUAUAUUUUUAUGUACA
Long non-coding RNA from Ricinus communis (castor bean), 1153 nucleotides. RefSeq lists it as uncharacterized. Lineage: Eukaryota; Viridiplantae; Streptophyta; Magnoliopsida; Malpighiales; Euphorbiaceae. The transcript is spliced from 4 exons. The record is from RefSeq and is a predicted model, not a curated record.